RNAcentral lists this ribosomal RNA (450 nucleotides) under uncultured bacterium. RNAcentral describes it as "partial 16S ribosomal RNA". It matches the Rfam family "Bacterial small subunit ribosomal RNA", at positions 354 to 796 of the family's 1533-position model. The record is from RNAcentral.
GCCAAGAAUCUUCCGCAAUGGGCGAAAGCCUGACGGAGCGACGCCGCGUGAGGGAUGAAGGUCCUCUGGAUUGUAAACCUCUUUUGUCAGGGAAGAAUAAGGAGCUAGGAAAUGAGUCUCCGAUGACGGUACCUGAUGAAUAAGCCCCGGCUAAUUACGUGCCAGCAGCCGCGGUAAUACGUAAGGGGCGAGCGUUGCUCGGAAUUACUGGGCGUAAAGGGCGCGUAGGCGGCCUGAUAAGUCGAAUGUUAAAUACUGCGGCCUAACCGCAGGACUGCAUUCGAAACUGUCUGGCUCGAGUUUGGUGGAGGGUGAUGGAAUUCCCGGUGUAGCGGUGAAAUGCGUAGAUAUCGGGAAGAACACCGAAGGCUAAAGCAGUCAUCUAUGCCGAAACUGACGCUGAGGCGCGAAAGUAUGGGGAUCAAACAGGAUUAGAUACCCGAGUAGUCC